This 604-nucleotide ribosomal RNA is filed under the name uncultured fungus. RNAcentral's name for it is "eukaryotic LSU rRNA". It matches the Rfam family "Eukaryotic large subunit ribosomal RNA", at positions 23 to 641 of the family's 3401-position model. The record is from RNAcentral. Lineage: Eukaryota; Fungi.
ACCCGCUGAACUUAAGCAUAUCAAUAAGCGGAGGAAAAGAAACCAACAGGGAUUGCCCUAGUAACGGCGAGUGAAGCGGCAAGAGCUCAAAUUUGAAAUCUGGCCCCCUUGGGGGUCCGAGUUGUAAUUUGCAGAGGGUGCUUUGGCGUUGGCUGUGGUCUAAGUUCCUUGGAACAGGGCGUCGCAGAGGGUGAGAAUCCCGUAUGUGGCCGCCAGCCUCCGCCGUGUAAAGCCCCUUCGACGAGUCGAGUUGUUUGGGAAUGCAGCUCUAAAUGGGAGGUAAAUUUCUUCUAAAGCUAAAUACUGGCCAGAGACCGAUAGCGCACAAGUAGAGUGAUCGAAAGAUGAAAAGCACUUUGGAAAGAGAGUCAAAAAGCACGUGAAAUUGUUGAAAGGGAAGCGCUUGCAGCCAGACUUGCCUGUAGUUGCUCAUCCGGGCUCUUGCCCGGUGCACUCUUCUGCGGGCAGGCCAGCAUCAGUCCGGGCGGUUGGAUAAAUGCCUGCUAAAUGUACCUCUCCUCGGGGAGGACUUAUAGGGCAGGCGGCAUACAACCAGCCUGGACUGAGGUCCGCGCAUCUGCUAGGAUGCUGGCGUAAUGGCUGU